AAUGGAGGCAAAAAAGGUAAAAGGGGCAGUUGGGUGUUUCUUGUAAAGAUCACUCCCCGUUGCUUUUCCCAUCCUUCGCUCCUCCAUCCGCGGCCGUUACCCCAGCCCUCGAGCACCAGAAAUAGAAACUCGGAGGCUGGCGUCGAGGCUAGACAUGGAUUCCGCGCCUGGCCCCGUCCAGACCCCAGUUUUCUAAAGUGACUUCGCACCAAAGUCCGGUAUAAUUGCGGAGUGGGGAACGUGCUGCUAAGUUUGGGGGGAGGGUGUUGCGGGGGCUCGCUUCAUCCUCUCCAGUUAUCAGCCCCUCAUUCUCUGCGUCACCUAAAGUGUUAAAAAAAAAAAAAAAAAAAGGCUCUUGGGUCCCACCGUAAGAGCGCAUAAAGAGAGGAGGUACAAUGACCGUCCUUUGCCAUUGUAGGGCUCCCUAAUUUAUGCGUUUUUAGACCCUUAAGCAUCAUUUUCUGGGCAACCAAACGGGCACUUCCAAAUUAGCUCAAAGUAUCCAAGCCCAGAGAAGAGAGAAAACACACAUACACUGAUAAAUACGCAGAUGCUACCUUUAAAUAUCUCUGACUUAAGUUUAUUCUCCCGUCACUACCAUGAUCAAAAAGAAGAGGAAGACAAAAUAUCAAAACUUCCAAAUAUUUCUAGUUGUUCGCAAUGGGUCUUUUUGUUGUUGUUGGAAAAAUAUAACCUGUUCAAGCGAUAUGAAAAUGGAUGCAGAAAUCAGUUUUACCCGAAUACUUAGACAUUAUGAACUCUCUACUAAAUACUGAACAAGACAAAGCAUAAGACAAAAGAAGUGUGCAAAGCAUAUUGAUUAAAUUUUGAAAACAAUCUUGCAGCAAUAAUAAUGAUAACGAGAAAACGAAGAUAACACUUCUAAGUUUUCCUGGAAACUGGAGCAGGAGAAAGAAAAACAAGGAGAGUGCUUUCUUAAGCAAUAUUUUAUAUUUUUUUCCAGAAAAGGGUGUGUGGAAACGAUUUAAGUUUAACCUGACAGUACAUGUCUUGAAGGCAAGAACAGUAUUACAUAUUCCUUUUUCUGUUUGCUUUUAGCCCUUUGGUGGAAAUGUUCUCCAUGGUUUUGUUCUUAUGAUUUUAAUAAUUGUUUUAUUCAUCUUAGUAUAGUUUUGCAAAGAAGCUGCCCUUUUUAGGGGGGAAAAAGCCAUAGGUCACCUAUGGGAAGGAAGUGACAAACGAAUGUUAAGAGUAAUGUUUUAAUAUACUGUAAAAGUAAAAUGCAAGGUUACAGGAAUUGUUUACAGACAUCAGUAUUGACUUAGCAAGAUGAAUAUUGCUACAGUUUUAACACGAUGCUACUUUUACAGGUCUUUUAUGAACUUGAAACACAUCGGCUAGGUCUUCAUCCUCACCUGCACUGGAAUUACCUACUUAAAAAAAACAAACUAAUGAUACACAAAGAAGCAUUUAUGUAUGUAUUUAAACACUUGCUGGGAUCCUUCUGAAAACUACAGUUUGGAUUUUACGUUUCUGGUUUAGUUUAAAUUGUAUUGUUUACUUGUAUGUAUUAGCUUAAGUAAAAUAAUAGAAAGUCAUUUCAAACGUUUCUCAGAGACAACAGGGUAAGUAAAAAAUAAUUGUGUUAUGACAUCUGUGAAUAUAAAAGUUAUUUGUGGCCCAUUAUAUUUUAUUUUUCAAGUUCAAACGUAUUUCAAAAAUGAAACCGAUUAUCAUAAUCUCCAUAUUCAUUAGUUGUCCAAAUUGAAAGGUGUUUACAAUUUUAAUUUUUUCCAAAUGAUUAUUCUGUUUUCAGGCUAUACAUUUCAUCUCAUAUAAUUUUCUUUGUAGAACUUUGACAUAGCAGUUAAAAUCAAGUGGUUGUACUACAAUUUUUGCUUAUUUUGUUUUUCAACUGCAUUGGGUCCUGUUAUAAGUGCAUAUACAUCUGGAAUGCUUCCAUCUUUAAAUUAAAAGCACUUUAUCACAUCUGAAGGUUCUCUGCAGAGAGUCACUUUCUGACUGCUUAGGAACUUGAUAAGCCAAAUAGUAUUGCAUCACUAUAGGUAAACAGUUCUGGGAAAGAAAAAUCUACAAUCUUUGACAUUUCUUCCUGUCAAUUGUUUGUACCUCAUUCUAGAAAUUACAUAUCUUCAUGCCGGAAACACUAUUUGGAUGUGUGUGGAUGAUUCUGAAAAUUGAUAUAGUCUGAAGGAUGUAUAUGUACAUUUAUAUACAGACACAAUAUAACCCAAUUGAUAUUCCACUGAAGCUUUGUAUUCAUCUCAUCAGAUUAUCGUGUACCUAAAUUAUGUGUGGAAAUUUAUACUUAGUAGAUUCUCAAAUAUUAUUGACUAAACUGCAUUUCACAGGAAAUGUAUUUCUCAGGAGUGUUUUCUCAUUGUUUUCCUUAAAAAACAAUGCUGGCACCCAGCAAAAUAAUAAAAUUAAAAAAUAAAAUAAAAUGCAAAUACUACCUAAGGGAAUACAGUGAAAAGAAUUGGUUCUCACUUUCCAAUCCUUCAAGCCUCCUAGUUCUUCGCCUCAGAGGAGUUUGGUGUUACCUGUUUCUUUUGGAAUGGCCUGUCCAUCUAGAAGCAUACUACCAUUUUACAUACAAAAGAUUGCAUGCUCUAUGUGAUUUGGUACUUUGCCUUUUUCAUGGUUUAGGUUUUUAUAGUUUCACACAUUACAACAUUGAAAGCAGACUAAGAUAGGCUGUGGCAGAUACAGAAAUUUUUUCUAAACAAAAAGACAAGAUUUUUCUAGACAAAACACUCCUGGCUUUCUGGCAAAAAUGUGGUAUUUGUUGAAAAUCUCUGAUGUGUUAGAUAGCCUUAGUGCCAAAAAUAUUUAGCAAAAAAAUUCUAAAGAAAGAGCCUUCUGCAGUUUGGAUUUGCUGUUGGCAGGCAGAAGCUCAGCGAAAGGGACCUGAGAGGAGUUGAGAAACUUCUGACAUACCCACUUUGAAGUGGGGGUCCAGCCAGUACUUAGAGGGAAAUAUUGUUUCUCUAGGUGGUGAAUAGGUUUCCAGUGGGUCUUGUAUUUCCUCAUCAAGACUAACUGUUUGAAAAUAUAACUUUCUGCUUGACACCCAAAAAUGUAAGUGCCUUUUAGAACUGAGACACUUGCUACAUUUGCAAUUAGUUUAAACUAGUUGUGAAAUAAUUUGAUUAAUGAAAGUUUUAUAUUGUGGAAGUAGCCUUAAAAUAUUGUCUUUGCGGUUGGGAAGGAAUAAAGAAACAUCUUAAGGAUACUAGUAUUUUGCAGCAAAAUUUGAGGUUAUAAAGAGGAAAAUAAAACUGCCAUAGAGAUGAAACACAAAGUUUAUUUGAAUUAUUUUACUUUUUUUUUGAUGAAUUCAUCAGUUUCUGAGAUCUGGUUCUCAUUUCUUUUUAGUCCCUUUAUAAGCCUUUUUCCAAUAGUGUUCAUUUCAAUUAUUUUAAAUGUCUUACAAUAAGUUUACACUUGCAUUUAUAAGGCUUUGUUAUUUCUAUGUGACACAGUAAUCCUUUCAUAUUUUCUUCACAAAAUACGAACUGGCAGUUUACUCAAAAAAAUCUUGUGAUCCUUUUCCUGAGAUUCAGAUAUUUUAGACUGAAAAUUGUUUUCUGACCAAUGAUAAUUGGUAUCAAUAAACAUAUUUUAAGCUAACGCAAUUAUUAGUACAGUGUGAGAAUGAAUAGUAGGUGAUGAAGACAUUUUGUUGUCAAAAUUAUUAUAAUAUGGUCCAAUGAAAUGAUUCCUCCUCCCAUCCCCCUAAGGAAAAAAACAAACAAGAAACCUCCCCUUCUAGGGUCAAGCUGUAACACUAGUUUUUACAGUCAGAGUAGAGAAUAACAUUGGGCUAUGACAGGGGAGUAAAAAUAGGGAAAUUAUCCAGUAUGUCCCAAUUCUCUCACCCUAGGAUUAGGAGCUUGAGCCACAAAUUCAGAUUUUUCUAUGUUAAAAAUUAUUUUUUAGAGUAAUAACAUGUAUGGGAAAAACUGGCAAUAUUGAAAUAUAAUUUUUUAUUUCUGAAUUACAAGUUUAUUGUAUAUUUUGUGUAUAUAGAAGGUUUAAAAUAUUUUAGAACAUAGUGGUAUUUCCAUUGAACAACAUUUUUUAGGUGUUUUGGAAUGUCAUUAAAUGGCUGUUUUAUAGGAAAAAGAAUCCUCUGAAUUUUAAGCAAAACUAUAUUUCUGUUGGUUAUUUUGUGAGAGGAGUUAGUUUUUCUAAGUGUUCUACCAUGUUUCCAACACAACCUAAUUAGAGUAAAUACACAAAGCUUUUAAAAAUACUUAUUUUAUAACUUCUCACAUACUGUCACAUUUUUCACAUCUGAGAUUUAGUGGCUUUAAUGUAAACUCUUUUUCUCCUACAAGCCUCAUUAAAGAUGUGUCAUCUUACAUUUACAAAUUACUUUUUAAUUAUCAAGGAAGGUAUCAGUUUUUAACAUCUGGGCUGAGUAAUUGGGUUGUUGCCACCAACACUUACUUGAAGGAGAACUCCAAUUUUUGAUGUUUUGGUAAAUUGAUUAUUAGGUUGUUGGAUUUGGUAAUAAAAACUUUUACUGUGUACAUUUUAGAAGGAACAGCUAUGACAAUAUAGUAAUUAGAGAAUAAUUUGGUCAAUUUUGUCCCCUUCUGUGUACUACUAAUGUUGAGGGAAUAGUUGACAGGUACUUGUAUUCACAUGUAUCUGUCUGAAUUGUAGGUUGAGAAUUGUUCUUAAAAGGAAGCAAUAGGCUAAUUACCUCAUAAAUCAAUGCAAAUUUUCGCAGAUUUUAAGCAAUUUGUUGCUUAAUAAUUUGCAUUAAAAAGCUUAAUAUGAAACAAUUUCAUUAAUCUACUUUAUUCAGACAGUAAGUGCCACAAGGAAAACCUGACUAAUAAAGUUGCCUUAUAAGAUUUUCUCAAGUAAGAAAACCAAAACCCAAAAAACCUAAUAAAAUGAGAGUCUUAAACCACAACAGACGUGUCAGAUGGACUUGAAAAUUACUGAUUAUUGUCCCAUAAUAUCCAGUUUGUGAAAUAAAUUGUGGGAUCUGGCUCUAGUAAAUCUAGGGUUUAUUAUAAAGUUUUUAAAAGUGAAGUACUAAAUGUAAAAGGCAAUUUGAUCUUGUCACUGUGUAGGGAAUUAUGUAGGGGUAAUACUGAAAAGGUAAUUCAAACUGGUGUUUGUACUUUUAGAAAUCAUGGAAAUUACACAAAAAUGUCACAAACCACAGCCAUUGGAAUUUGGCCCAAUAUACCAAGCCAGAGAAAUGAGAAUUGCUUGAGAAAAUCGGAACCAGCUUAAAUGAAAGCAGCUUAUCAUUGGCAUGUAGUAUGUCUUUUAAAAUGUGUAAUUAUCGAACAAAAGGAAAAUAGAAUAUUUGGAGUAGAUUACCUCUUCAAAAUCAAAAAGCAUAUACUAUGUAUCCAAGAUAAGUUUUUAAAAAACUAAACCAUAAAAAAUGGCAAACUUCAAUGAGUGAAAAAUUUUUUAAAAUAACAUAUUCAAAAAAAUUUAAAUCAAAUUUAUAUUUUUUAAAGUUCACUUUUUAAUGAAGAACUAAAUCUUGAACUGUAAAGGGUAUAUUAAGGUUAAAUGUUUUGCAUAAGUUAUUGUUCUAGGAUUUGGAUAAUAGAAUAAUUUACAAAGCCAUUGUUUCAGUACAUUAUAUGUUUACCAUUACAAACAUAUAAACAAAAUACUCUGAAAGGUCUGAAUGGAAAGUAUUAUAUGAAAUUUUAUUUUUCUAUAAAUAUUGAGGUAUAUAUAUAAUUAUUUUUUGUUUUUAUUUCUUAGCUACGUCUGCUGGAAUGAGAUGUAUGAUGAUUUAGAGUUGGUUCUCUUAAGUGCAGUAUUUCUUUAGGAUAAUCAGUGAUAGUGCAUAUAUGAUUGGGCUACUGUUGUGAACAUAAUUGAUGGCAGAAUGCCUUGAUGCAGCUCUUACCAACAAUUUAUGGAGACUAAAAGGGUGGUAGAACUGGUGGGUUAGAAAUUGCUUUCUGAAGAACUGGAGGAUCGAAGAGAAAUCUGGGGUUUCCAGUGCCCUCUGAAAUAAUUUUUACAUAAAACCCAGGUUUAGUAGGUACAAUUGUUGUUGAAGUGCGCUGCUCAUGAAAAGAAUUUAUGUGGCAGAAAGAGAUUAUUUGGUCAUGGAUAUUGUAUGAACAAAUCAGGGCUUCUGUACCCAUGUUAAAGGAAAAAUGGAGAAUGUUCUGUAUAUUUAAUAUGCACAUGUGAUUGUAUUUAACUUUAUAGGUAAUAAAUGAUACAGGUAAACACACUUAUGAAGAUCAAACACGUUUCAUGUCCAAGAAAGUCUAAUCACGAAUCGUCCUUAGCUUCCUGUAUAUGGAUUGUCCCGUUCCAUGUGUUCAAGCAAGAUGUAUCUCUCUCACAUAGAUAUUUUUACUUAGAGACUCAAGAGGACUUAUGUAAGGCAAAAAAGAAAAACAUAAACAUUUAUUCUUCCUCUGCCUUGAUUCAUAAAAAAUCCGAGGCAGUUUAUAUAUAAAUAUAUUUGUGCGCUUUAAACAUUUAGUAAGACUCAAGACCUCAUAAAUAAGGAUCUUAUAAAAGAGUAGGAAGUUGAGAUAUAAGUUGAAAAAACAUCAACUAAACAGGCUAUAAAGCCUACUGAAUUCCUAUAGUUGAGCCUCACAUUUGGAUCUAAGCUUCCUCGUGGUCAAUUGAAAAAUUCAGUUAUAUUUUCCUUGCAUUUAGGAAGAACACCCUCCCAAUACACACACACAUAGACUCAACAUUUCUUAAGGAAAGAGGCAUUUCCUAAUACUCAGCUCUAAAAAAAAAUUUGUCACAGGGCUUCAUGGAGGGAACACUGAAUAUAAACAUCUUAAUAGUUCUAUAGCAGAUGGAAUUAUUUUUAAAUAUUGGCUUGUUAUAGUGGCCAUUCCUAAAAAGUCUGAGACCUCAACAUCGAAUCAUCUCAAUUAAGGACUUUAAGGUUUAGGAACAAAAUAUGGUUCAGGUUUGUAGCCUUCUGAUUCGGGAAUGCUUCAUACUUUAAAAAAAUGACUUCAUAGAUCAUGCCUAUAAUCCCAGCACUUUGGGAGGCCGAGGCGGGUGGAUCAUUAGGUCAGGAGAUCGAGACCAUCCUGGCUAACACGGUGAAACCCCGUCUCUACUAAAAAUACAAAAAAUUAGCCAGGUGUGGUGGUGGGUGCCUGUAGUCCCAGCUACUCGGGAGGCUGAGGCAGAAGAAUGGCGUGAACCCGAGAGGCGGAGCUUGCAGUGAGCCAAGAUUGCGCCGCUGCACUCCAGCCUGGGUGACUGAGUGAGACUC
Long non-coding RNA from Pongo pygmaeus (Bornean orangutan), 7237 nucleotides. RefSeq lists it as uncharacterized. The transcript has 3 exons. The record is from RefSeq and is a predicted model, not a curated record. NCBI's taxonomy places the organism in Eukaryota, Metazoa, Chordata, Mammalia, Primates, Hominidae.